GGGGGCGAAUUGGAUUCGACCGGGUAGGCAGAAGUGGAAGUGGCGUGUCGUGGUUGGUCAGUUGGCCACGUAAAAAGCUGACUAAAAAUUUAGUUGCAGAUGCAAAUCUAGCAAUGGCAGCCUAAAUAAGGUUGUCCUGACUGAGGGGGUCCGCCGGAGACGCCCGACUGUCAGUUGCAAUUCCGGAUCGUUUGUCCCCGUGCUAGGCACGUGAUGAACUAAAAAAAGCUCCUAGCUGGUCCGAUCGAUAGUCUUGCCAAUAGACGCUCGAGAGGACGAGAAACAAAUCAUUGGCUACACACGUAGAGGCUUUCAUGGAAAUAUCGCGGGACGCGGGUUCGAUUCCCGCCGCCUCCACCU
Molecule: transfer-messenger RNA, 360 nt
Filed under: Planctomycetales bacterium
Lineage: Bacteria; Pseudomonadati; Planctomycetota; Planctomycetia; Planctomycetales
Rfam family: transfer-messenger RNA
About the family: Bacterial tmRNA, also known as 10Sa RNA or SsrA, is named for its dual tRNA and mRNA-like properties. Its role is to liberate the mRNA from a stalled ribosome.
Source: RNAcentral